GAGACAGUUUCUGUUCUCGGCCGAUACAUUUCUGGUGUACCUCAAAACUGAUGGUACCCGUAAUGUUUCCGCCGAGAACCGACUGCGCUCA
This 91-nucleotide microRNA precursor is filed under the name Caenorhabditis brenneri. RNAcentral describes it as "pre miRNA CBN33773". It matches the Rfam family "mir-56 microRNA precursor family". The record is from RNAcentral. Lineage: Eukaryota; Metazoa; Nematoda; Chromadorea; Rhabditida; Rhabditidae.